Molecule: ribosomal RNA, 333 nt
Filed under: uncultured Pseudomonadota bacterium
Lineage: Bacteria; Pseudomonadati; Pseudomonadota
Description: bacterial SSU rRNA
Rfam family: Bacterial small subunit ribosomal RNA
Source: RNAcentral
AUCUGCCCUUUGGCCUGGAAUAACACGAGGAAACUUGUGCUAAUACCGGAUAAGUCUUUACGGAGAAAGCUUUAUGCACCAUUGGAGGAGCCUGCACUAGAUUAGUUUGUUGGUGGGGUAAUGGCCUACCAAGACUGUGAUCUAUAGCUGAUUUGAGAGGAUGAUCAGCCACAUUGGGACUGAGACACGGCCCAAACUCCUACGGGAGGCAGCAGUGGGGAAUCUUGCACAAUGGAGGAAACUCUGAUGCAGCGAUGCCGCGUGAGUGAAGAAGGCCUUUGGGUUGUAAAGCUCUUUCGUCGGGGAAGAAAAUGACUGUACCCGAAUAAGAAG